Molecule: unclassified non-coding RNA, 195 nt
Filed under: Parietochloris pseudoalveolaris
Lineage: Eukaryota; Viridiplantae; Chlorophyta; Trebouxiophyceae; Trebouxiales; Trebouxiaceae
Description: partial internal transcribed spacer 2
Source: RNAcentral
UCACCCUCGCCAUGAGUUCCCCUGCGGAUCUCAAGGGCGGAGUUGACCGUCCUGCUGCCCUCUGGUGCAGCGGGUCGGUUGAAGCGCAGCGGCUCCAGCAAACACCCACUCGGGCGCUGGCUAGGUAGGUAGCUCCGGCUGCAUGCCGCCAGACUGCCCCGGAUUUGCAUGGGAGCCUUCCUUUGAAACUUUUAC